UCCCCCUGGGGUCGUACCUUGAUGCUCUACCCCUAAAACCCUCAUUCUAAGUACAGGAAUCAUUUUUAUGAUUUUUAACCCUCAUUUCUAACUCUAAAACUCUUACAAAAAGCUCUAGAACUCUCUAGUCUAGUUCACUAGUUUUCGGGGCUUAAUAUUAUAGGCGGUCUAAUUACUAAUAAAAUGACACCACUUAACCCCUAAUUAAUUCUAGAAAGUUCCCUUAACCCCCAACUUAACCGCCUAACUCACCCUCACCGCCUCACCCACGAGACCCCGAUCCAUGGGCCGUUGGUGGACCCACGGGCCAUGCUGGUCCUUCGUGGGUGGAGUCCUCCAAC
RNAcentral lists this long non-coding RNA (341 nucleotides) under Solanum tuberosum (potato). Its description in RNAcentral is "long non-coding RNA (STUB_LNC004791)". The record is from RNAcentral. Lineage: Eukaryota; Viridiplantae; Streptophyta; Magnoliopsida; Solanales; Solanaceae.